GUGUGUGUGUGUGUGUGUGUGUGUGUGUGUGUGUGUUGCCUUGUCUUUCGUUGUACAGAUGCUUAUGCAGUGUGUGUGUGUGUGUGUGUGUGUGUGUGUGUGUUGCCUUGUCUUUCGUUGUACAGAUGCUUAUGCAGUGUGUGUGUGUGUGUGUGUGUGUGUGUGUGUGUGUGUGUGUGUGUGUGUGUGUGUGUGUGUUGCCUUGUCUUUCGUUGUACAGAUGCUUAUGCAGUGUGUGUGUGUGUGUGUGUGUGUGUGUGUGUGUGUGUGUGUGUGUGUGUGUGUGUGUGUGUUGCCUUGUCUUUCGUUGUAGCCUUCAGAAAAAAAAUAUUAAAGUUUUUACAGUGGGAAAAUUUUGGUGGUGAGUGAGAAAAUGACUCAAAUAUUACCUGAAAUUUAACCUGAUGUGGUGGAGCCUCACACUCCUCAGCUGCCCCUAACCAAACCUAACCUAACCCAAAGAAGCCUACCCGAACUUCUGUCUGGUGCUUCCUCCUCCCCAAGACUGGCUAUCUCGUGUCAUAAUCCCAAGCUAGCCUAACCUAACCCUACCUAACCUAACCUAAGCAAUUCUAACCUAGCCAAACCUUAUCUAAGCAAGCCUAACCUAGCCAAGCCUAACCUAACCUAAAGAAGCCUACCCUAACCUAACCUAGCCUAACCUAACCUAACCUAACCUAACCUAGCCUAACAUAACCUAAUCUCGUCUAACUUAACGAAGCAUAGCCAAACCUAACCUAACCUACAUCCUCUUCCCACGGCCCCACUUAACCAAACCUAACGUAACUUUCAGAGCAACGGCAACCCUCCAAUCCGGCAAGCAGUUGGCGGCAGCGAUGGCGGUGGCGGCAGCAGUGGUGGCGAGGCGGACGGCAGGGACAGAGGGGCAGUACAGGGUGCGGACAUCAAGGAGAAGAGGAACGCACGGACAAGCAAGGUGUUAUUCGGCAGUCUGAUCCUGGACCUGGUCGGCUUCAUGGCGGUGGUGCCUCUGUGUCCUGCUCUCCUUGACUGUUACUCCAAGCACAACACCAGCGGCUUGUAUUCCUCUCAGCUCUCCUGUGUGACUUAUUACCAACAUAUCAUCGGUUUCGCUGCGAGGUUCCAUUCUGUCUUGUUUGGCACUGAUUGGCGUGACAUUCAGCAUAGGCUUCACCGUCGGGCACACUGUGGGGCCUGCGUUCUCCCGCUGGGGAAGUACUGGGUGGUUCGCGGCCUCGGCUGUCUACGCACGCACUCUCACUGUGGCUAACAUAAUAUUCUUUGCUGUCUUCUUCCAGGAAUUGCUGCCUGAGGGCAGAAGGAGGAGGGACAUUGGUGCCAGUUUGACCGAGGCUUGGGAGGUGAUCAAUCCUAGGGCUCUGUUCUCCGUCAGCUGUGUCAAGGGCCUGGGCAGAGAAGCCUGGAGUUAACGCUGAUCUUCGCGACCCACCACAAGCAUAGUUACGACUCGUUGGCGCAGGACCGCAAGUUUUCCUUCCUGGGCCUGGUCAUGGCAAUUACACAGAGAGGGUUUAUGCGAAGUGUUAAGACUGGAACUGAAAAAGCAACUGCCAAUUAGGUGUUCUGGGUGGUUAAUGACGAUGACUCCUGCUUUCAUCCUCAUCGGGGCUAGCAAGACCAACCUGGGGCUGUACUCUGGACUGACGCUGUAUGCCAUAGGUUCCUCUUUGAUGGUGCCCUGCCUCACUGCCCUCGCCUCCUGUCACAGCACGGCCUCUCACAAGGGUACCCUGUUUGGCAUUCGGAGGUCACCAGGGGCUGUUCCAAGGGCGUUCGGACCUGUUGUGACCAAUAGGUUUGUUUGUGUUGUUCGAGAGUGUUUAGCUGUGUUUUGUGUGUUUUUUGGUGUGUUUUGAGGUGUUUUGGGGGUGUUUUUGGGUGUUUUAAGGGUGUUUUGGGUGUAUUUUUGGGUGUUUUGGUAUGUUUGGCUGUGUUUUGUGUGUGUUUUUGGUGUGUUUUGAGGUGUUUUGGAUGUGUUUUGGGGUGUUUUUGGGUGUUUUGGGUGUAUUUUUGGGUGAUUUGGGUGUUUUGGUACGUUUAGCUGUGUUUUUGGUGUGUUUUGGGGUGUUUUGGGUGUAUUUUAGAGUGUUUUGCUGUGUUUUGUGUGUGUUUUUGGUGUGUUUGGGGGGUGUUUUGGGGUGUUUUUGCGUGUGUUUUGUGUGUUUGGAAGUCUGAGGCUGUGUUUUUGGGUGUUUUGGGUGUAUUUUACGGUGUUUUAGGAUGUUUAGCUGUGUUUUGUGUGUGUUUUUAGUGUGUUUUGGGGUGUUUUGGAUGUGUUUGUGGGUGUUUUGGGUGUUUUGGUAUGUUUGGCUGUGUUUUGUGUGUGUUUUGGAUGUGUUUGGGUGUGUUUGAGGGUGUUUUGGGGGUGUUUGGAUGUGUAUGGAUAUAUUUAAGGGUGUUUUUGGUGUGUUUGGGGGUGUAGAGGUGUGUUUGGGUGUGUGGGACAAUGUUUUGGGGGUGUUUGGGGGUGUAGAGGUGUGUGUUGGUGUGUUUGGGUGUAUUUUGUUGUGUUGUCUGUGUUGUUUGGGUCUCUCUCUCUCUCUCUCUCUGCAGGAUUCUGGGUAAUGUGGGCAGAAGUGUGCUAUAUUGUAGACAGCCUCUCCAUGCUGCUGCCGCUAGUGAUGCAGCAGGCCUACUGAGCUCCCUGCCACGCCCUCAGCCUGUUUAUAUUAGCCAGGUUAAGGAGGAAGGAUGUUGGGCUGAUGUUGGCCUAUUUAUGUGGUUUUUGGGCUAGUUUUGGGCGGUUUUUUGUCACGUGUUCCUUCUUUUGGGCUAGUUUUGGGCGGUUUUUUGUCGUGUUCCUUCUUUUGGGCUAUCAUUAUCUAUUUUUGUUCUUUUAUUUUUCAUGGUUCCAGUGACAGUUUAAGAGGCUGUGGUGGAAGUUAUUAGGGUUUUCAAGGGUGUUUUCAUGGUUCCAGUGACAGUUUAAGAGGCUGUGGUGGAAGUUAUUGCGGUUUUCAAGGGUGUUUUUAUGGUUCUAAAAUUUAACAUGCUGUAGUGGAAGUUAUUAGGGUUUUCAAGGGUGUUUUCAUGGUUCCAGUGAUAGUCUAAGAGGCUGUAGUGUGCAAACUCUCUUGUCAGGGUGUAAACUCACCUUACCUUAAUAAAAUGUUGAUUAAUA
RNA transcript from Scylla paramamosain (green mud crab), 3124 nucleotides. It is a transcript of the gene named probable E3 ubiquitin-protein ligase HERC4, with no coding region annotated. NCBI's taxonomy places the organism in Eukaryota, Metazoa, Arthropoda, Malacostraca, Decapoda, Portunidae. The record is from RefSeq and is a predicted model, not a curated record. The transcript is spliced from 7 exons.